AUAUCUCUCUGUACGGGAAGGAUGAGAAGCUUCUACCAGGGUUCGAUUCGAGCGCAGCGAGAAAGCGUUGCCGCAGGCA
RNAcentral lists this small RNA (79 nucleotides) under Salmonella enterica. RNAcentral describes it as "partial RtT sRNA". It matches the Rfam family "RtT RNA", at positions 1 to 78 of the family's 130-position model. From Rfam's summary of the family: This family represents a bacterial cis-regulatory element known as RtT RNA. The exact function of RtT is unknown although it is thought that it may be involved in changing the cellular response in relation to amino acid starvation. RNAcentral also lists the same sequence under 3 other names. The record is from RNAcentral. Lineage: Bacteria; Pseudomonadati; Pseudomonadota; Gammaproteobacteria; Enterobacterales; Enterobacteriaceae.